Juglans microcarpa x Juglans regia is the source of this 1973-nucleotide long non-coding RNA. RefSeq lists it as uncharacterized. The transcript has 2 exons. The record is from RefSeq and is a predicted model, not a curated record. NCBI's taxonomy places the organism in Eukaryota, Viridiplantae, Streptophyta, Magnoliopsida, Fagales, Juglandaceae.
ACAAAUAAAAAAGAAUAAUUAACAGGUGUAAUAAAUGCUUGAUUAAACGCUUGGCGAGGUGAGCCUAGAGUAGAGAUUCUUGUUCUGUUAAACUGACCUUUAUCAGUAAGUUUAAUCAUUUGAAUGGUUUCCCUUUUAACAUGAAUAGGUUCUCUUUAGUUUUCUGUGAUGUUUCUGGAGCUGCUUUCCUAUAUAAGGUUGCGUUAACCAACAUGUAACUGUUGGUCGAUCGUUGACUUCGCCACAGUCAAAAUGAUCAGAUUAUAAACUAAAAGAAAAAUGCUGGAGGCAACCGCAUGGGGAACUGCGGCGUAACUGCAUCCCACGUGGCAUUAAAUGGAAGCGACACCAUUUCUUCAAAACCCUAGCGCAAUGCUUCUAUGUUUUGGUUUUAGCUUCUUGCCUUGAUAAAGCAAGAAGAAGAAGAAUAAAAGUUGUUCAUACUAAGUGUUUGCAUAAACGUGUAGGUGAAAGGCCUUUGUUUUUGGGCUCUGUUUUCAAUUUCUCUAUCACACUUUUGCAAUGUAUUUCAGCUCCUUUAUAUUCACUAGGAGAUCAUUUAUAGAUUGAUAAAAAACAAUUCACAUCACUAGAAGAAUUACACAAGAAUAUCCUGGAAGAUGCUAAGCGUGGAAAUGCUUCAUUGGCUAUUGUUGGCAGAGCCUCUUGAAGAGCAUUCGGACUUGAUUUUCUACAGCACACUAGUGGAGUGAGGUGUAGUGGUAUUUGCCGUAUCAUUGUGGCUAAGGUCCAGCAGCACAGAUGAGGAACGUGGGACAGAGUUGUCCUUGUGGCUGGGACGUGGUGUAGUGCUAUCCAUGUGGUUGGAGGCCUUAAUAGCCCCAUCGAUCCAAGGGGCACCAAUGAAAUGGAAAUCAAAUAUGGGAUGGUGGUGUCGAGGGAGAAAUUUGAGGUGAUUGGUGAGGUAAGGCUGUGUAUUUGGCUGCAAAAAAGGAUGGUGGUGGGGCUUGAUAAGCUUAAUCAAAUAUGUGGUAGCAAGUUAACACAGUAUGACCAGGUUUCUGGCAUACUUGGUAGAAGGAUCUUGGUGCAGCUUGACUAAAAGGGAGUUGAGAACCUCUUCUACUAGGGCCACGACCACGUCGCCCUCUUGAAAAGGAACCUCUACCAUGGUUUGAGGGGAAGACAUUUGGCGAGUUGAAGUUGCAUUUGCUGCAAGAGAGGUUUCUGAAAGCAAUGUUUUAGUUUGAUGUAAUAAACAAGAUUCAUGAUUCAACAAAUAACUGUAAAUCUGUGGGGUGGAAAGAGUAUCGAGUCUAGUGGUAACUGAUGUAACCAGUGAUUCAUAAUCAGAACCAAGGCCAGCAAGAAGGUAGAUGGUGAAUUUGGAUGGAGAGAGAGGUUGACCAGGAGCCCCAAGGGAAGAUGCAAGAGAGGUAACUUUGUUAAAGUACCCUGUGAUUGAGAAAGAACCAUUCUUGAGAGUGGCAAGCUGGUAUUUGGUGUGCAUGAUAUGUGCUGUGGAUUGUGCAACAAAGAGUGUGUGUAGAGUAGACCAAACCUCCUGAGAAGUAGAACAAGUUAGAACUUGUGCAAGAACUGAAUCUGAAGGAGAUGCAUUAAUAGUCGAAAUAAUCAGUUGGUCUUGUAAGACCCAUUUUGUAUAUGCUAGAUUUGGUUGAUUAUCAAGAAUGGGAGGGGGUGCAGGGAAUGAGCCAUCAACAUAUUCAUACAGUUGAUGCCUUUUGAGAAAUGACACAAUUUGUGCCUUCCAAAGUAAGUAGCUUUCUAAGGUAAGUUUGAUAGUAACAAAAUGAGAGGAUAUAUGAGUUGAGAAUGGAGGAGGAAUGAGUAGGUGGGUGAGAGGGAGAAGAGAUAUUUGAAUUUUGGGGAGAGGCCAUAUUUGUGAUUUGAAGUAGGAAGAGGGACAAUGAGUCCUUUCGCUACUUUGAUACCCUGAUAAAGCAAGAAGAAGAAGAAUUAAAGCUAUGCACACUAAGUGUUUGCAUAAA